GAUGAACGCUGGCGGCGUGCCUAACACAUGCAAGUCGAGCGGACGGACGCGAAGCUUGUGUCUCUGAUGUUAGCGGCGGGCGGGUGUGUAACGCGUGGAUCACCUACCUAUAUGUCUGGGAUCACUUCGGGACACCGGCGCUAAUACGGGAUGAUAUUUUGCACCGCAGGGUUCAAAAGUGAAUGACGGCCUUGCUGUCAGGUAUAGCGGGUUCCGGGCUGCUUUAGCUAGUUGGUAGGGUAACGGCUUACCAAGGCAACGAUGCAUAGCCGACCUGAGAGGGUGAUCGGCCACACUGGAACUGAGCCACGGACCAGAGUCCUACGGGAGGCAGCAGUAGGGAAUCUCCCGCAAUGGGCGAAAGCCUGACGGAGCAACGCCGCGUGAGUGAUGAAGGCCUUCGGAUCGUAAAGCCCUGUUAUGAGGGAAGAACAGCUGUGUCAGUAACUGUGCACAUCGUGACGGUACCUAAUCAGAAAGCAACGGCUAACUACGUG
RNAcentral lists this ribosomal RNA (497 nucleotides) under uncultured bacterium. RNAcentral describes it as "partial 16S ribosomal RNA". It matches the Rfam family "Bacterial small subunit ribosomal RNA", at positions 28 to 507 of the family's 1533-position model. The record is from RNAcentral.